This 1382-nucleotide ribosomal RNA is filed under the name uncultured prokaryote. RNAcentral's name for it is "partial 16S ribosomal RNA". It matches the Rfam family "Bacterial small subunit ribosomal RNA". The record is from RNAcentral.
AGAGUUUGGUCAUGGCUCAGGACGAACGCUGGCGGCGUGCCUAACACAUGCAAGUCGAACGGUAACAGCAGAGCUUGCUCUGGCUGACGAGUGGCGCACGGGUGAGUAACACGUGGGCAACCUGCCCCAGACUUCGGGAUAACUCCUCGAAAGAGGCGCUAAUACCGGAUACGAACUCUGCAGGCAUCUGCAGACACAUUAAAGGUUACGGUGUAAGAUGAGCAUGCGUCCUAUUAGUUUGUUGGUGAGGUAACGGCUCACCAAGGCGACGAUAGGUAGGGGCCCUGAGAGGGGGAUCCCCCACACUGGUUCUGAGACACGGACCAGACUCCUACGGGAGGCAGCAGUGAGGAAUAUUGUACAAUGGAGGCAACUCUGAUCCAGCCAUGCCGCGUGCAGGAAGACUACCCUAUGGGUUGUAAACUGCUUUUAUACGGGAAGAAACCCUCCCACGUGUGGGGGGCUGACGGUACCGUAAGAAUAAGCAUCGGCUAACUCCGUGCCAGCAGCCGCGGUAAUACGGAGGAUGCAAGCGUUAUCCGGAAUCAUUGGGUUUAAAGGGUCCGUAGGCGGACGAUUAAGUCAGGGGUGAAAGUUUGCAGCUCAACUGUAAAAUUGCCCUUGAUACUGGUUGUCUUGAAUUACUGUGAAGUGGUUAGAAUAUGUAGUGUAGCGGUAAAAUGCAUAGAUAUUACAUAGAAUACCAAUUGCGAAGGCAGAUCACUAACAGUAUAUUGACGCUGAGGGACGAAUCUGUGGGGAGCGAACAGGAUUAGAUACCCUGGUAGUCCACGCCGUAAACGAUGGACACUAGUUGUUGGAUUAUUUCAGUGACUAAGCGAAAGUGAUAAGUGUCCCACCUGGGGAGUACGAUCGCAAGAUUGAAACUCAAAGGAAUUGACGGGGGCCCGCACAAGCGGUGGAGCAUGUGGUUUAAUUCGAUGAUACGCGAGGAACCUUACCAGGGCUUAAAUGGGAGAUGACAGGAGCAGAGACGCUCUUUUCUUCGGACAUCUUUCAAGGUGCUGCAUGGUUGUCGUCAGCUCGUGCCGUGAGGUGUCAGGUUAAGUCCUAUAACGAGCGCAACCCCUACCGUUAGUUGCCAGCGAGUAAUGUCGGGGACUCUAACGGAACUGCCGGUGCAAACCGUGAGGAAGGUGGGGACGACGUCAAAUCAUCACGGCCCUUACGUCCUGGGCUACACACGUGCUACAAUGGUAGGUACAGAGGGAAGCCACCCCGCGAGGGGGAGCGGAUCUAUAAAACCUAUCUCAGUUCGGAUCGGAGUCUGCAACUCGACUCCGUGAAGCUGGAAUCGCUAGUAAUCGGAUAUCAGCCAUGAUCCGGUGAAUACGUUCCCGGGCCUUGUACACACCGCCCCU